CGUGGUUAUUAUUAUUCCUGUUUUACAGAGAAGGAGACUGAGGCUCAAGACAGCCGAGGGGACUUGCUCAGGGCACCCGGCUAAGACUUGACAAAAUCCAGAAUGUGCUACCGGUCUUCGUGGCUCCUCAGGCCUCCCCUUCACUGUGCUUCACUGUGUAGUCAUCUCGCUUCCUCCAAAUGUGGCCGCACAAUUUGGAGACCACACAAAGAUCAUCAGGGUUCUGCUUGAUAGAAAAUACAGAAUACAGAAGAGGUGAUGAAAGGAUAAAGAUGCUGGUAAUCUUAUCAUUGGGUGGAUGCAGUAUUAACCUCCCCUCUGUUCUGCCACUCCACACCCCAUGCUCUGGGCACCCAGGACAUAAUUCCCUGCUAAAAUAUCCCCAAAUCUAUUUCCAGGGCCUACCUAGG
This 410-nucleotide long non-coding RNA is filed under the name Homo sapiens (human). RNAcentral's name for it is "non-protein coding lnc-DUSP1-1:1". The record is from RNAcentral. Lineage: Eukaryota; Metazoa; Chordata; Mammalia; Primates; Hominidae.